CUUAUACAUCCUUUUGAAUGUGUUAUAUGACUAUGAAAGCAUUAGAGUAACAAACUGUCAUUGUCCUUUCACAGUACAUACCUAGGGAUUUGCCCACACAUGAGGGUCCUUCAACCUCAGCACACAAUCUGCAGGUUGCCAGCAAAGGAGCUGUAUAAGGUCCAUCUUCAAAAACAAAUAAGAAAAAGUGACAUGGAGAUGUACCUUAUACAGCUUCAAAUGGAAGAGAAAAGGCUCCUCAUUAAAAAAGUAGCACUUGAAAUUGAAUUACUGGAGCAUCGCCUUAAGG
Tachysurus fulvidraco (yellow catfish) is the source of this 289-nucleotide long non-coding RNA. RefSeq lists it as uncharacterized. The record is from RefSeq and is a predicted model, not a curated record. Lineage: Eukaryota; Metazoa; Chordata; Actinopteri; Siluriformes; Bagridae. The transcript is spliced from 2 exons.